This 433-nucleotide ribosomal RNA is filed under the name uncultured bacterium. Its description in RNAcentral is "partial 16S ribosomal RNA". It matches the Rfam family "Bacterial small subunit ribosomal RNA", at positions 29 to 507 of the family's 1533-position model. The record is from RNAcentral.
AACGAACGCUGGCGGCAUGCCUAACACAUGCAAGUCGAACGACACCUUCGGGUCUAGUGGCGCACGGGUGCGUAACGCGUGGGAAUCUGCCCUUGGGUUCGGAAUAACAGUUGGAAACGACUGCUAAUACCGGAUGAUGACGUAAGUCCAAAGAUUUAUCGCCCAAGGAUGAGCCCGCGUAGGAUUAGCUAGUGGGUGAGGUAAAGGCUCACCAAGGCGUGGAUCCUUAGCUGGUCUGAGAGGAUGGUCAGCCACACUGGGACUGAGACACGGCCCAGAAUCCUACGGGAGGCAGCAGAGGGGAAUAUUGGACUACGGGCGAAGGCCUGAAGCAGCAAGGCCGCGUGAGUGAUGAAGGCCUGAGGGUAGUAAAGCUCGUUUACCCGGGAUGAUAAUGACAGUACCGGGAGAAUAAGCUCCGGCUAACUCCGUG